AAAAAAAUCUCCAAAAAAUCCACAAAUAAUCUCCAAAAAAUCCAAAAAAAUCCCUAAAAAAUCUCAAAAAAUCCCCAAAAAAUCCCUAAAAAAUCUCCAAAAAUCCCCCCAAAAAUCUCAAAAAAUCCCGAAAAAAUCUGAAAAAAAUCCCCAAAAAAUCCCCAAAAAAUCUCAAAAAAUCUCAAAAAAUCUUCAAAAAAUCUCAAAAAAUCCCUAAAAAAUCCCUAAAAAAUCCCCCAAAAAUCCCCAAAAAAACCCUCAAAAAAUCCCAAAAAAUCCCCAAAAAAUCCCCAAAAAAAUCCCCAAAAAAUUCCCUAAAAAAUCCCAAAAAAUCCCCAAAAAUCCACCAAAAAAUCUCAAAAAAUCCCUAAAAAAUCCCCCAAAAAAAUCUCAAAAAAUCCCUAAAAAAAUCCCAAAAAAAUCUCAAAAAAAUCCCCAAAAAAUCCCAAAAAAUCCCAAAAAAUCCACCAAAAAAUCCCCAAAAAAUCCCUAAAAAAAUUCCCCAAAAAUUCCCCCAAAAAUCCCCAAAAAAUCCCCAAAAAAUCCCAAUAAAUCCCAAAAAAAUCCCAAUAAAUCCCAAAAAAAUCCCCAACAUCCCCAAAAAAUCCCAAAAAAUUCCCCAAAAAAUCCCCAAAAAAUCCCAAAAAAUCCCUCAAAAAUCCCCCAAAAAAUCCCCCAAAAUCCCUAAAAAAUCCCCCAAAAAAUUCCAAAAAAAUCCCCAAAAAUUCCAAAAAAUCCCCCAAAAAUCCCUAAAAAAUCCCCCAAAAUCCCUAAAAAAUCCCCAAAAAAUCCCUAAAAAAUCCCAAAAAAUUCCAAAAAAUCCCCAAAAAAUCCGCAAAAAAUCCCCAAAAAAUCCUCCCAAAAUCAAAAAAAAAUCCCUAAAAAAUCCGCAAAAAAUCCCUCCAAAAUCCCAAAAAAAUCCCAAAAAAAUCCCUAAAAAAUCCCUAAAAAAUCCGCAAAAAAUCCCUAAAAAAUCCCCAAAAAUCUCCCAAAAAAUCCCCAAAAAAUCCCAAAAAUUCCCCAAAAAUCCCCAAAAAAUCCCAAAAAAAUCCCCCCAAAAAUCCCCAAAAAAUCCCCAAAAAAUCCCCAAAAAAUCCCAAAAAAAUCCCCAAAAAAUCCCCCAAAAAUCCCCAAAAAAUCCCCAAAAAAUCCCCAAAAAUUCCCCAAAAAAUCCCCAAAAAAUCCCAAAAAAUCCCCAAAAAAUUCCCAAUUUUUCCCUAUUUUCCCAGCUCCUCCGCGCUUCCUCUCCCACCCGGAACCCGCCUCCGCCUUCCCGGGCGAUUCCGUCCUUUUCCGCUGCUCCGCCGCCGCCGACCCCGCCCCUUCCAUCCACUGGCAAAAAAACCAGGAAGAGCUUCUCCCGGAUUCCCGAAUUUCCCUCCUGCCCUCCGGAACCCUCCAGAUCAGCCGCAUCCGCCCGGAAGAUUCCGGAAUUUACCGCUGCGUCGCCAAGAAUCCCGCCGGAUCCCGCAGCGGCAACGACGCCGAGCUCCG
RNAcentral lists this long non-coding RNA (1494 nucleotides) under Manacus vitellinus (golden-collared manakin). Its description in RNAcentral is "lncRNA (ENSMVIG00005004187.1)". The record is from RNAcentral. Lineage: Eukaryota; Metazoa; Chordata; Aves; Passeriformes; Pipridae.